GGAAGUAAAAGUCGUAACAAGGUUUCCGUAGGUGAACCUGCGGAAGGAUCAUUCAUAAUAAAGUGUUUUAUGGCACUUUUUAAAAAUCCAUAUCCACCUUGUGUGCAAUGUUAGAUCUCGUCAAUCUUGGCGAGAUUUUUAUACAUCAACUCAUUUUUUAACUAAUUUGUCUGAAAAAUAUUAUGAAUACUUAAUUCAAAAUACAACUUUCAACAACGGAUCUCUUGGCUCUC
Molecule: unclassified non-coding RNA, 233 nt
Filed under: plant metagenome
Description: partial contains small subunit ribosomal RNA, internal transcribed spacer 1, and 5.8S ribosomal RNA
Rfam family: Eukaryotic small subunit ribosomal RNA (bases 1-54)
Source: RNAcentral